Molecule: unclassified non-coding RNA, 355 nt
Filed under: soil metagenome
Description: partial contains 5.8S ribosomal RNA, internal transcribed spacer 2, and large subunit ribosomal RNA
Rfam family: 5.8S ribosomal RNA (bases 1-120)
Source: RNAcentral
GAUGAAGAACGUAGCGAAAUGCGAUAAGUAAUGUGAAUUGCAGAAUUCAGUGAAUCAUCGAAUCUUUGAACGCACAUUGCGCCCAUUAGUAUUCUAGUGGGCAUGCCUGUUCGAGCGUCAUUAAGUCCACUUAAGCCCUGCUUAGUGUUGGGAGACUGCUCCAGCGGUGCUACCCUGUAGCUACCCUGCAGCUCCUCAAAGACAGCGGCGGAGUUGUGGUAUCCUCUGAGCUUAGUAACUUGUUCUAGCUUUCGAGUACACCACUUCCCCUGCCGUAAAACCCUUAAUUUUUGAUGGUUGACCUCGGAUCAGGUAGGAAUACCCGCUGAACUUAAGCAUAUCAAUAAGCGGAGGA